GCGGGCGGCCGGAUGACCGCGACGGGGCCGAGGCCCCUUCGAGGAAAGUCCGGACUCCACGAAGCGACGGUGCCGGGUAACGCCCGGCGGGGGCAACCCCAGGGAAAGCGCCACAGAGAAGAGACUACCCGUGCCUGCACGGGCAAAGGUGAAACGGUGGGGCAAGAGCCCACCGCGGGACGGGUAACCGGACCGGCACGGCAAGCCCCACCGGGAGCAAUGCCGCAUAGGGGGUCCGCGCCGGGCUGAUCCCGAGGGGGGAGACCCCCGGAGGAUAUCGCCGGCAGGGAUGCUUCGGCCCGAGGACCCCGGGUUGGCAGCUGGACCCCACCCGCAAGGGCGGGGCGAGAGGAAUGGUCAUCCAAGGGGGGCGACCCCCGGGACAGAAUCCGGCUUACAGGCCGCCCGCGCAA
Molecule: RNase P RNA, 413 nt
Filed under: Paracoccaceae bacterium
Lineage: Bacteria; Pseudomonadati; Pseudomonadota; Alphaproteobacteria; Rhodobacterales; Paracoccaceae
Description: Rhodobacteraceae bacterium (sediment metagenome) RNase P RNA component class A
Rfam family: Bacterial RNase P class A
About the family: Ribonuclease P (RNase P) is a ubiquitous endoribonuclease, found in archaea, bacteria and eukarya as well as chloroplasts and mitochondria. Its best characterised activity is the generation of mature 5'-ends of tRNAs by cleaving the 5'-leader elements of precursor-tRNAs.
Source: RNAcentral